AUUGAACGCUGGCGGCAGGCCUAACACAUGCAAGUCGAACGGUAACAGGAAACAGCUUGCUGUUUCGCUGACGAGUGGCGGACGGGUGAGUAAUGUCUGGGAAACUGCCUGAUGGAGGGGGAUAACUACUGGAAACGGUAGCUAAUACCGCAUAACGUCGCAAGACCAAAGAGGGGGACCUUCGGGCCUCUUGCCAUCGGAUGUGCUCAGAUGGGAUUAGCUAGUAGGUGGGGUAACGGCUCACCUAGGCGACGAUCCCUAGCUGGUCUGAGAGGAUGACCAGCCACACUGGAACUGAGACACGGUCCAGACUCCUACGGGAGGCAGCAGUGGGGAAUAUUGCACAAUGGGCGCAAGCCUGAUGCAGCCAUGCCGCGUGUAUGAAGAAGGCCUUCGGGUUGUAAAGUACUUUCAGCGGGGAGGAAGGGAGUAAAGUUAAUACCUUUACUCAUUGACGUUACCCGCAGAAGAAGCACCGGCUAACUCCGU
This 489-nucleotide ribosomal RNA is filed under the name uncultured bacterium. RNAcentral's name for it is "partial 16S ribosomal RNA". It matches the Rfam family "Bacterial small subunit ribosomal RNA", at positions 30 to 506 of the family's 1533-position model. The record is from RNAcentral.